AGUCACUUGAAUUUGGGUUUUUAACUUAGAUUUGGGUGGCGGACGGGUGAGUAACGCGUAAAGAACUUGCCUCACAGCUAGGGACAACAUUUAGAAAUGAAUGCUAAUACCUGAUAUUAUGAUUUUAAGGCAUCUUAGAAUUAUGAAAGCUAUAUGCACUGUGAGAGAGCUUUGCGUCCCAUUAGCUAGUUGGAGAGGUAACAGCUCACCAAGGCGAUGAUGGGUAGCCGGCCUGAGAGGGUGAACGGCCACAAGGGGACUGAGACACGGCCCUUACUCCUACGGGAGGCAGCAGUGGGGAAUAUUGGACAAUGGACCGAGAGUCUGAUCCAGCAAUUCUGUGUGCACGAUGAAGUUUUUCGGAAUGUAAAGUGCUUUCAGUUGGGAAGAAAUAAAUGACGGUACCAACAGAAGAAGUGACGGCUAAAUACGUGCCAGCAGCCGCGGUAAUACGUAUGUCACGAGCGUUAUCCGGAUUUAUUGGGCGUAAAGCGCGUCUAGGUGGUUAUGUAAGUCUGAUGUGAAAAUGCAGGGCUCAACUCUGUAUUGCGUUGGAAACUGUAUAACUAGAGUACUGGAGAGGUAAGCGGAACUACAAGUGUAGAGGUGAAAUUCGUAGAUAUUUGUAGGAAUGCCGAUGGGGAAGCCAGCUUACUGGACAGAUACUGACGCUAAAGCGCGAAAGCGUGGGUAGCAAACAGGAUUAGAUACCCUGGUAGUCCACGCUGUAAACGAUGAUUA
RNAcentral lists this ribosomal RNA (741 nucleotides) under Fusobacterium sp. HGFU11. Its description in RNAcentral is "bacterial SSU rRNA". It matches the Rfam family "Bacterial small subunit ribosomal RNA", at positions 60 to 815 of the family's 1533-position model. Lineage: Bacteria; Fusobacteriati; Fusobacteriota; Fusobacteriia; Fusobacteriales; Fusobacteriaceae. The record is from RNAcentral.